GACGAACGCUGGCGGCGUGCCUAAUACAUGCCAGUAGAACGCACAGUUUAUACCGUAGCUUGCUACACCAUAGACUGUGAGUUGCGAACGGGUGAGUAACGCGUAGGUAACCUGCCUGGUAGCGGGGGAUAACUAUUGGAAACGAUAGCUAAUACCGCAUAAUAUUGAUUAUUGCAUGAUAAUUAAUUGAAAGGUGCAAUUGCACCACUACCAGAUGGUCCUGCGUUGUAUUAGCUAGUAGGUGAGGUAACGGCUCACCUAGGCGACGAUACAUAGCCGACCUGAGAGGGUGAUCGGCCACACUGGGACUGAGACACGGCCCAGACUCCUACGGGAGGCAGCAGUAGGGAAUCUUCGGCAAUGGACGAAAGUCUGACCGAGCAACGCCGCGUGAGUGAAGAAGGUUUUCGGAUCGUAAAGCUCUGUUGUAAGAGAAGAACGGGUGUGAGAGUGGAAAGUUCACACUGUGACGGUAUCUUACCAGAAAGGGACGGCUAACUACGUG
This 505-nucleotide ribosomal RNA is filed under the name uncultured bacterium. Its description in RNAcentral is "partial 16S ribosomal RNA". It matches the Rfam family "Bacterial small subunit ribosomal RNA", at positions 28 to 507 of the family's 1533-position model. The record is from RNAcentral.